UACGUAGGGAGCAAGCGUUGUCCGGAAUCAUUGGGCGUAAAGCGCGCGUAGGUGGCCUCAUAAGUCCGCUGUGAAAGUCAAAGGCUCAACCUUUGAAAGCCGGUGGAUACUGUGAGGCUAGAGUACGGAAGAGGCGAGUGGAAUUCCUGGUGUAGCGGUGGAAUGCGCAGAUAUCAGGAGGAACACCAAUAGCGAAGGCAGCUCGCUGGGACGUUACUGACACUGAGGCACGAAAGCGUGGGGAGCAAACAGG
This 253-nucleotide ribosomal RNA is filed under the name uncultured bacterium. Its description in RNAcentral is "partial 16S ribosomal RNA". It matches the Rfam family "Bacterial small subunit ribosomal RNA", at positions 524 to 776 of the family's 1533-position model. The record is from RNAcentral.